RNAcentral lists this ribosomal RNA (301 nucleotides) under uncultured bacterium. RNAcentral's name for it is "partial 16S ribosomal RNA". It matches the Rfam family "Bacterial small subunit ribosomal RNA", at positions 509 to 809 of the family's 1533-position model. The record is from RNAcentral.
CAGUAGCCGCGGGAAAACAGAGGGUGCGAGCGUUAAUCGGAUUUACUGGGCGUAAAGCGUGCGUAGGCGGCUUCUUAAGUCGGAUGUGAAAUCCCUGAGCUUAACUUAGGAAUUGCAUUCGAUACUGGGAAGCUAGAGUAUGGGAGAGGAUGGUAGAAUUCCAGGUGUAGCGGUGAAAUGCGUAGAGAUCUGGAGGAAUACCGAUGGCGAAGGCAGCCAUCUGGCCUAAUACUGACGCUGAGGUACGAAAGCAUGGGGAGCAAACAGGAUUAGAUACCCCCGUAGUCCCUGUCUCUUAUAU